This 284-nucleotide long non-coding RNA is filed under the name Elaeis guineensis (African oil palm). RNAcentral describes it as "long non-coding RNA (EGUI_LNC021326)". The record is from RNAcentral. Lineage: Eukaryota; Viridiplantae; Streptophyta; Magnoliopsida; Arecales; Arecaceae.
UGGUAAUAUUUUUUUUUCUUGGCCCUCAGGGUCUUGUAACGUACAUCUUGUUAAUCGAGAAUGAGAAAGAGAUUUUGUUACCUUGUCCGCACUUUGCAUCAAAUUGUCACCUGUCGAGCUUCUAUCAUUCGCUAUUGUUAUUGUUGUAUUCCCCUCCUCUUUUUCUUUUCUUCUUCAACCUUAAGGGCUCUGUAAUGCAUAUUUAGUAAAUAACAUGAGAAGGGGAUUUUUCGCUACCUCUUUUACUCACGUGUUCAAUUGUCGUUCGCCGAUCUUCCUUCGGC